GUGUUUGCUCCGGCAGCACAUAUAUUAAAAUUGGAAUGAUACAGAGAAGAUUAGCAUGGCCCCUGUGCAAGGAUGAUACACAAAUUCGUGAAGCGUUACAUAUUUUA
RNAcentral lists this small nuclear RNA (107 nucleotides) under Myotis brandtii (Brandt's bat). The record is from RNAcentral. Lineage: Eukaryota; Metazoa; Chordata; Mammalia; Chiroptera; Vespertilionidae.